Molecule: long non-coding RNA, 528 nt
Organism: Jatropha curcas
Lineage: Eukaryota; Viridiplantae; Streptophyta; Magnoliopsida; Malpighiales; Euphorbiaceae
Source: RefSeq, a predicted model, not a curated record
ACAAUCAAAGUCACAAAAACCCUAGCUUGGUUCCCUAUAUAGAAAUAGCUAGAUUAAACCUGUCCCUUCCUCCUCAGAAAAAUCCUAUUUAGCUCUCUAGCUAUAAGCUAAAUUGAUACAGCAAGCUAGGCUAGCUAGCAGGGUAAACAGGGAGAUAUAUAGAUACGAUUCGAUCCGAAGAAUGAGGUUCAUAGGGGUGGUUCUUGUUCUUAGUUUGCUGAUGAGCAUGAGCUGCUGCUGGGCUACAGAUAUGAAAUCUUUAACAGUAAAUGAUGUAGAAAUGGAAGAAGAAGAGCAUAGAAAGGUUGUUGAGGGGAAUCAUAUGAUCAAUAAUGGCGAUUUUCCUGCAACUAGUGUCAAUAACCACCAUUACAUUCCUAGGCAGGACUUUGGAAGCUUUGGUGGAGAUUCUGGAAACUGUGACACCAGCUAAAAGCUACAGUGUGUCUCUCUCUCUAUAUAUAUGUUUUCUUGUAAGCAUGCCAACAUUUUCAGCAAAAAUAUUUAUGAACAAUGCAAAUUUAUAUA